Molecule: long non-coding RNA, 12108 nt
Filed under: Salvia miltiorrhiza (redroot sage)
Lineage: Eukaryota; Viridiplantae; Streptophyta; Magnoliopsida; Lamiales; Lamiaceae
Description: long non-coding RNA (SMIL_LNC005153)
Source: RNAcentral
CGAGAUGUAUUAAUAAUCACGCUAAAGAGAACGUGAAACUCCUGCAAAUUCUCACGAUCACGUAAGAACAGCCGUCUCUAUGAGAAAAUUAUUUCAAGCAUACCCUAGGACAAUAAAUCCUAGCCUUAUAUAGGAAAAGGUAAACAACUAACGAGGCCCUAUGCUAAUGGGCCUUAGCCAUAAUCUAAUUAAAAGACAUAAAAUAAAGAAUACUAAUUGGUGAAACGAUUAGGCCUUCUAAUCUCUCUGCGUUGACGUCUCUCUGCCAAACUUGGCUCCACUUCAUCACCCUUCUCAACUUCUUCUUCGAUAUAGUUCUCAGCUUCCUCUUCGACAUCGUUCAAGGUAGCUGCAGCAGAUUUUGUGCUCGUAUCAACUCCCCCAUUCUCAGAACUCACCUUGUCCGCAAGGUGAAAAUCAGGAAACGAAUUGCGAAAAGAGGCAAGAGACUCCCAUGUGGCAGCAUCAGGAGGAAGGCCCUGCCAUUGAACAAGAACUUGAGCUUCAGGAACACCAUUGCUGAGGAUUGUGCGAGAGGAAACAACAACCACCGGAACCAAAGUGGGCAGACCAGCAGAAUCAAUAGGGACAGGAUUAAUCGGAGUAGUGGCAGUACCGACGAACGGCUUGAGCAAGGAAACAUGAAAAACCGGAUGAAUACGGCUACCAGAUGGAAGUGCAAGGCGAUAAGCUACAGCACCAAUCUUCUCGAUAAUAGGAUAGGGCCCAAAGUAACGCUUGGCCAACUUUGCAGAGUGACGACGGGUAACAGAAACUUGACGAUAUGGUUGGAGUUUGACCCACACAAGAGCACCAACAUCAAAAACAACGUCACGGCGGUGUUAUUCGCCUGCUGCUGCAUGCGGUGCUGCGCAGAAGAAGAGAAGACUUCAAAUCAAGUAAGAGUUGAUCGCGUUCCAAAAGUAACACAUCGAGGGCAUCGACUGCUGUGGAGCUAGGGAUGUAGCGAGGGAUCGUCGGGGGAAGACGACCAUAUACAGCCUGAAAUGGGGUCAUGUUUAUACUCGAAUGAUAACUAGUAUUAUAGUGAAACUCAGCCCAUCCUAAAAAUUCCGGCCAACGGUCUUGCCGGUCAGAAGUCAUAGCCCGUAAAUAUUGUUCCAAACACCGGUUAGUGACCUCCGUUUGACCAUCCGUCUGGGGAUGGUAAGCAGAACUGUGCUUGAGAGAAGUGCCGCUGAGUUUGAAUAAUUCGGACCCAAAAACGCUUAGGAAAAUGGGGUCACGAUCUGAAAUAAUAGAUGACGGAAAACCAUGUAGCUUAACAACCAUAUCAGUGAAUAAAACGAGCCAAUUUAGAGGCGGUAAAAGCCAGUAGGUAGUGGGCCGAAGUGAGCAGCCUUGGUAAGGCGGUCGACAACCACGAGAACAACAGAAAAACCAUGGGAACUGGGAAGAUGGGUAAUAAAAUCCAUCGUAAGUUCGUUCCAAACCAGGGCAGGAACGGGCAAAGGCUGUAAGAGGCCGGCGGGUGCGACAGUGAGAGUUUUUAUCUGCUGACAUGUAGCACAAGCACGAAUAAAAUCUUCGACGUCACGACGCAUGUGGGGCCAGUAAAACAAGGAAGAGAGACCGACUAGUGUCUUCUUAACACCUCCAUGACCAUGGAUAGGAGAGCAAUGGAACUCCUGUAACAGAUUUUGUUUCAAAUGAGAAGACCGGGCAAGAAAGUAUUUCUGCUUAUACAUGAGAAGACCACCAACCACAGUAUAGUCAGGAGAUAGUUCACCCACUUGGAAACGAUGAUGCAAUGAGAUAUAAUCAGUGUGGGUCUGAUUUUCCUUACGUAAAUCAUCGAGAAAGGCAGAGACUGGCGAGCUUUGAAUCAUCAAGCAAACUGGUGUAAGCGUUUCAGACACCAAUGCAGCAGAGUCAGGGGACGCGCCGUCGGGGGCACGCGAGAGAGCAUCAGCCACGAUAUUAUGGCGUCCAGGUUUAUACUCUAUAGAAAAAUCGUACCCUAACAAUUUGCGGAUAUACCGGUGCUGAUCAGGAGUGUGUAAGUGUUGUCGUAAAAGUUCUUUCAAAUUGUGGUGGUCAGUACGAAUAAUAAAAUGUUGACCCAAAAUAUAUUGGCGCCAUUUACCAAUAGCCUCGCUUAUGGCAUGUAAUUCUUUGAUAUAGGUAGAGGCGUCCUUGAGACGAGCUCCUAAUUUACGACUGUGAUAAGCGAUGGGCAAAUUAUCUUGUAAAAGUACCGCGCCCAAACCCACAUCAGAGGCAUCAGUUUCGAUGACGAACUGUUUAGAAAAAUAAGGUAAGCGCAAGAUAGGUGUCGAGGCCAUCGCCUGUUUGAGAGCAUGAAAUGCAGUUGAGGCAUCAUCAGACCACACAAAACCGUCUUUACAGAGGAGAUCGGUGAGAGGAGAAGUGAUGGCAGCAUAGUUCUGAAUAAAUUUGCGAUAGUAGCCGGUUAAACCGAGGAAGCCCCGAAGUUGCUUGGCAGAAGAUGGGACGGGCCAUGCUAGCAUUGCUUCUAUUUUGGCAGGAUCCGCGCGCACUGUGCCGGAGCUAACAAUAUGACCCAAGUAAUCCACCGAAGACGUGCCAAAAGUACAUUUGGAGAAUUUCACAAAAAAACAAUGGGACUUGAGACAUUGGAGCACUGUGCGUAAGUGAUUAGUAUGUGCUUCUUCAGAUGGACUGUCGUCAAAAAAAACAACAACGAAGCGGCGUAGGAAAUCCUUGAGAAUAAAGUUCAUGGUCGCUUGAAAUGUGGAUGGGGCAUUAGUAAGCCCGAAAGGCAUGACAAGAAACUCAAAAUGGCCAUCAUGAGUGCGAAACGCCGUCUUAAAGAUAUCCUUAUCGUGAACACGAAUUUGGUGGAAACCGGCACGUAGAUCCAAUUUAGAGAAUACUGUAGACUGACCAAGUUCAUCAAGGAGUUCAUCAACUGUAGGAAUAGGGAAUUUAUCCUUAACAGUGACAGCGUUGAGAGCACGAUAAUCAACACAGAAACGGUAGGAGCCGUCUUUCUUCUUGAAUAAAAGCACGGGAGAGGAAAACGGGCUUUGACUCGGGCGUAUAAUCCCCUGAUCCNNNNNNNNNNNNNNNNNNNNNNNNNNNNNNNNNNNNNNNNNNNNNNNNNNNNNNNNNNNNNNNNNNNNNNNNNNNNNNNNNNNNNNNNNNNNNNNNNNNNNNNNNNNNNNNNNNNNNNNNNNNNNNNNNNNNNNNNNNNNNNNNNNNNNNNNNNNNNNNNNNNNNNNNNNNNNNNNNNNNNNNNNNNNNNNNNNACUCAAACUCCAUACGACCACACCGAUAAUCAUGAGUACUUGGCCUAAUCUGGAGCCAUUGAAUACCAAGAAUAAUAUCAGGCCCCUUGAUUGGCAACACAAAUAAUUCGCAGGUGAAAGAAGUCCCUUGAAGAUCAAUAGAAACAGCCAUGCAUUUAUGUUGGCAAAUAAUAAAAUCUCCAUUGCCAAUAUACACCCGAAAAUUUGGGAUGGCAGUAAGCGAUAACUUGAGGCGCUCUGCAAGGUUAGGGGUGAUAAAAUUAUGAGUGCUACCAUUAUCAAUCAUUACCUGAAACCUUUGUGUCUGUAUGCUGCCCCAUAAGCGAAGAGAACGGGGCUGAGCGGCGCCUGAGAGAGAGUGAAGGCUGGAUACAUCUCCCAAAAUGACGUCAUCAUCUAGAGGAUGGUCAGGCGAGUCUGAGAUAUCAUGAGCCUCAGGAGAGAAAGUAGCAUCAUCACCGGCGAGGAGCAAAACCGUGCUCGGAGUCUUACAGCGGUGGGAUGGGUUCCAUCGCUGAUCACAAUGGAAGCACAACCCUCGUUCGCGCUUCUCACGAGUCUCUGCAGGAGUGAGGCGCCGAACAGGAAUGGUGGGCGAGUCGCGCCGUACAGGAGAAGGGGACGACGAAACGGCAGAGGGCCGAGGCGGAAUUGGCGGGACUGUAGUGGUGGAAUUGGUCGUCGCGACUGUUGGUAAAGUAGGGCGAGGCAGUGGGCGAGCAAAAGUACGAGCAUCAGUUUGGGAGUCCAAAUAUUUGCUCUCAAACACUCGAGACAAAGCAAAAGUCUCAUCUAAUGUUGUGGGUCGAUUCAAUUGGAGAUCACGACGAAUCGACGGCUUGAGUCCCGAAAUAUAAAAUGAAAUAAGUAGGGGUUCCGAGAUACCCUUAGUGCGACCCAUCAAGGACUCAAAGGUUGAUUGGUAAUCUGCAACAGAGCCUUGUUGCGAGAGCUUAGCCAACGUACCCUCGGGAUCGUCAAACUGUGAAUCACCAAAACGAGAUUUGACCCGGUUCAAGAAAUCUGACCAAGAAGAGAGCAUGUGUUGAGAUUUCAGCCAUUGGAACCAAGUAGAAGCCUUGCCAUCAAGAUGAAAAGAGACAAUUUGAAGGCGUUGAGUGUCGGGAGUGUUAUGGUAGCCAAAAUAUUCCUCGAUCUUAAAGAUCCAAGAGUAUGGAUCAGUGCCAUCAAAGCGGGGAACGUCAAGGCGAACAAAAGGAGGGCGGCCGUGUGGAAAAGUAUUGGAGGCAUCAUCGAUGGACGAUGACGAGUGGGUGUUCUUGAGUAUCACCAUGAAUUCAUCCAAUUGCUUCUGAAAAUCCGCCUGAGAUUGGCGAAGUUGAGUAUCCACUUGAGCGCUGAGAGUGCGGAUUUGUGCCUGCAAAUCCUUAGCUAUGGACUCCAUCGAAAAAGUCAAUGAAAGCACCAAUUAAUACGAGAUGUAUUAAUAAUCACGCUAAAGAGAACGUGAAACUCCUGCAAAUUCUCACGAUCACGUAAGAACAGCCGUCUCUAUGAGAAAAUUAUUUCAAGCAUACCCUAGGACAAUAAAUCCUAGCCUUAUAUAGGAAAAGGUAAACAACUAACGAGGCCCUAUGCUAAUGGGCCUUAGCCAUAAUCUAAUUAAAAGACAUAAAAUAAAGAAUACUAAUUGGUGAAACGAUUAGGCCUUCUAAUCUCUCUGCGUUGACGUCUCUCUGCCAAACUUGGCUCCACUUCAUCACCCUUCUCAACUUCUUCUUCGAUAUAGUUCUCAGCUUCCUCUUCGACAUCAUUCAAGGUAGCUGCAGCAGAUUUUGUGCUCGUAUCAGUAUGGGUCAAAAUUUUAGUGAAUGUAUAACCCGGUUGUACGAUACACCCGGAUGUACCCAAGAUCACCUCUUCUUAAAUAUGUUUUACAAUUUCAGAGGAGUAGUAAAGUAACCUUUUCCCAUUGUAUUUAUGGCAAAUCUAAUCAGACGCGAAAAUUUCGUCCUUCCUUCUCUGAUUUGUUCAGCAGUAUUCAAUGAAAUCAUACUGAACAUAAAUAAUUCAUACAUUUGUGAAUUUGUUCAUUGUAUUAAUUUUUUGUAUUUUUAAAAUGAAAACUGUGUAAAUAUGAGCGUGAUUAUUAGUUUCAUAGUUUGGAUUUCUGUUACCAGUGGACACAAUUUAUGAUUAAAUAAUGUGUUAUUUAAUUGCUAAUUCGUGAGUGACUAUGUAUAAUUCAUUAAAUUUGUUAAAUUGUUCAUACAUUUUGUAUGUUUGUUCAUAUAUUUUUCGUUUAAUGCAAAGUGUUAAAUAUUUUAUUUUUAAUACGUUAAUUUGUUAAAUAAAAAAUACUAGCUACUACAUUUUAUUCAUAAAAAAUCUCUCUCUCUCUCUCUCUCUCUCUCUCUCUAUAUAUAUAUAUAUAUAUAUAUAUAUAUAUAUAUUAAAGCAAAAUAAACUCUACCCUACGUGGCGGUGUAUAAUCACUCCAUUCCAAUUUUCCUCCAUUCCCAUUCAUUCUUAUUUUCUCCUAAAAUUUUAAUCAAUUUUCCAUAUCUAAUUUUUUUCAUUAUACACAAAUAAAAUCAUGCUAAAAUUCCUUUUGAUUUUAAAUUCUAAAUAAAUACGAAAAUUAUUAAGUGUUAUCCUCUUUGUAAUUUGGAUUAUCUUUGGACCUCGUUGUUCUUCAUACAUCCAUUUUAUAAUUAUUUUAUGGUAAUAUCAUUACUGGAGUAAAGUAUUAAUGCAAUUCAAAAAUCAGUAUAUAUAAUAUAAGUUACGAAAUUUAAUUAUUGUGCUUAAUUGUUGAUUUUGAAUGAGAAAAUCUUGAAGGGGGCGUCGUAUAAUCACUUCAUUCCAAUUUUCUUCAAUUCUUAUUCAUUAUUAUGCGUAUUCUUAUUUUUUCUAAAUUGUCGAAGACUAAUUGCUUGAUGAAACACCCGAACGAAUAGUCAUGUAAUUGACAAAAUUACAUCAUUUAUCUCCUGAUUCAUGUCCAAAAGUCGAAUACAAAUCGGAAUCAACAAAUAUCAACAGAUGGAUAUCCAAGAAAUCUAACAUAACAAUCCUUUAUAAAGAACCCAAAAACACAAAAAAAUCGAAAUAAGCAAAUAGGUUAGCACUAUUUAUCGAACGAGAAGAAGCACUAUGCUUGAAAUUUAAUGCCAAGAUUUUCCAGCUGAUUUUCUUGACAAAAUUAGAACAGCAAAUACUGAGGUUGUAAACUGAAUCGUUCGAAAAUAUUCCCAAAUUCCUUCUCUUAUUCUACUACUCUCCAUAAUUCCAAAUCAAACUUUGGGCGCUGUUUGAAUGGAUAAGAUUGUGAUGAAGCAUCAUCAAUUUGCAUCAAAUAUGGCUUUAAUAAUUCACCGCAAUUGUUUCCUUUUUGAGAAGUCAGCCGCAAUUGUUGACAACAAAGAUACAUAUACGAUCGAAUCCGGAAUCGCAAGCCUCUAGAUUCUUAAAAAUUUGAACAACACAAUUGCAAAUACUAUAUUUUAUAGAUCCUUCGGUCUUCUUCUGCGAUUCCAAUCGUCAGUCGCUACACAUGGCGGCGGCGGAGAUUAUUAAUUAUUAAGUUUUGGUAUUGAUAGUUUAGCUAUAAUUUCUUCAAAUGAUAUUUAUUUGAAAUUGUAUUUAGUUUAACAUGUACGAUCAUUUCUUUUAUUUAUGUGAAGAAAAAAUAAUUUUCCACUUUAAUUUAUUCAUCCUAAUAUGCACAUAUACAUAUUGAUUAACUAUCUUACUUGAUAUGUUAAAAGUUUAGAGUUCAGAAUUCCAAUAGAUACAUGAUAUGAUGAUUAUUUUAUUGUUAGGUACAUAUAAAAUAGAUUGUUUAUUAUACUCCGUUCAUCUGUUAUUAUUUUGACGAUGAAGCGCAGUCUGUUGGUAAGACGCUUUUCCUCUAAUCAAUAGACGGGGGUUCGAAUCACCCUAGAAGCUAGAGUGUGAGUGAGUUUUUUCCUUUAUUUGAUCGUAACAAAUUUUUUUUAAAAAAAACAUAAUAUGUUCAUCUGAAAAUCAGUAUUUUUAAUGAAAUUCUACAUAAUAAAUUAAUAAUAAUGAACGGGGUUUUUUGCAUAAGUAUAAAUCUAUGCAGCCACAUUGUGGCCACCCACACACUAGUAUAAUAAGAAAAAUCUUAAUUUAUUUAAUUUAUUUUUUAAAAUAAAAAUAGGAUUUAGUUAUUUUACUAUAUUCUCUACAUUGUACUUUUUUUGCAUUUUUAUUUAAAAUUUAUUUUUUAAUAAAAAUAAAAAAGUUACUAAAAAAUUACAAAGUAGAGAAUAUGAUAAAAUAAUUAAAUCUUAUUUUAUUUUAAAAAAUAAAUUAAAUUAUUUUUUAUUUAGAUAAAUUGUGGGUGACCACAAUGUGAUUGAAUGAAGGAGAGAAAAUUUCUUUUUUUUAAAAAAAUUGUUACAAUCAAAUAAAGGAAAAAACUCACUCACACUCUAGGAGCUCCUAGAGUGACUCGAACCCCUAACCUAUUGGUUGGAGGGGAAGUGUCUUACCAACAGACUGCGCUUCAUCGUCAAAGGAGAGAAAAUUUCUUAGUCAGAUAGUAGCUAGAGAAUUAAUUUUACUAACUAAGUUGUAAUUUUGAUAUGCCCGCAUUGGUUUCAUCAUAUAUAAAAAAAGGGAUCAAAAAUUACGUAAGUUUAUAUCAAAAGAAGUCGGUGUUGUGACACGUGAUAGUUGUAUAUAAUAAGUUGUGCGGGCACGUGACCCCAAGGGAUAUUCUUCUCCAGCAUCGAAAUUUAAACAUAAAAUCCCGACUUUGAAGUUCAUUUCUAGCAAAGUCUUUAGCCCGGAUCCUACUAUAUUUUGUUUCAUGUCAAAUAUUUUUCUAACUAUGGAGGGAGCUAGCAUACUUAACAGCCGUAGGAGAAGUUCCGACAUGUAUUUAUUUUUAACGUUGUUGCUGAUUAUGCAUCAGCUGAUUUUCUCACAAUGUGCCAUUAAUGAUAUUUCUUUCUCGGAUCAUAGGCUUAGGAAUCCAAGUGUGCCCUCGACCUCGCCACCUUCCGCCGGCAGUCGUGGGCCGCGGCCGCCGCCACCGCCUUCUGAAAUAAAAAAUCGUUCAGUAUUUCCACAGUCGGAUCCACCACCUAAGCCAGCUGCACCAUCUUGUAAACCCACUUGUAAAUAGUCUCUCUAGCUAUGUCAAACGUUACUACGAAUUUCUUAUUCGUUGUUUUUCUUGAUAAUUCUGUAACAUGAUUCGUUAUAGUUUUAUGGUAUUAUAUGAAAAGUUUUAAUUAUAUGCCAAUUUUCGCUUAUGGAAGUUGACAAUUUACAUUCAAUGUCAGACAAUCUUGAAAAAGAUAAAUGGAUUUGCGACGUCAGAAAUAAUUAUAUUCAAUGCCAACGAAUUUACAUUCAAUGUCAGACAAUCUUGAAAAAGAGAAUUGGAUUUGAGACGUCAGAAAUAAUUAUAUUCAAUACAUUCAAUGUCAGACAAUGUCAGAAAAUGCCAUUAUCAGCCCUAUCGCAAAUUCUAAAACCAUCACGUAGCUCAGCAAAAUCCCGACGAUCAUCGGUUUCUUGCUGCCAUGGCUGUAGUGAGUGUCCAGGCGGCGGCGGCGGCGGCGGUUUCUUGCUGUCGUUCGCCGGAGUUUAGAAAAGGGGAGGUCCGGCGGCGGCUUCGCUGUGUCGCCCGGACCCAGGAAGGAGGCGCCGGCGCGCGGGCGUCGUGGCGGUGGUCGUUCUCGCCGGAAUCUGGGGGAGGGAGUCUGGCGAGAGAGAAACUCCGGGGGUGGUGUGUGCCGUCGACGGCGCUGCUUGCCGGUCUGUCUCAUGGAGGAAGACGUCGCGGGGUGCGUGCGUGUGAGCGUGCUCUGUUUCAGUGAGAGAAGAGAGUCGAGAGUAGUAAGCGGCUCAUCGCCGUUGCUCCGGUGAGCUUCCGCGGCGGUGGAUUUUCGAGAGGGGGUGGGCGGAUUCGAGAGAGAGAGAAAGUGAUCAGCACUAUAAUGUGUGUGCGUCAGUGCGUGUUUGAUUUGAGAAGAAAAAAACUCAGCUGGGGUUGAGAGGUGGGGUCCGCGCUGGGGAAUGAGAUUCAGUGUACCACACUUUAUGUCCCACUUUCUGCCCUACUUUCAAUUUUAUUUAUUUUCUUAUAUAUUUUUUCUUCAAUUCUAACUUUGUGUGCUUUAGUUUAAUUUUGUGAUUAUUAAUUAGGGUUUAUUCCAUAAACCUAGGGUAUAUAAUUAUUUUUUAUCAUUUAACUUCACUUUUAUUAGUUAAUAAUAGGUUGAUAAAUUCAAAGUCAUGGUAUAUACUUUUUUAAAAAAAUUAAUUAUAAUUCAUAGUAUUAUAAUACUCCCUCCAUCCCUAAAAUAACUUCCUCUUUUUUCCAUUUUGGGACGUCCCCCAAAUAACUUCUUCUUUCUUUCUUUCAUUUUUGGAAACCUACCCCACCACUAAUAAUACUUUAUUUAUUUUACUUUUCACUUUUCACCACUCCAAUACUAUUAUAACACUUUUCACAACUUCAAUAAUAAUUAUAUCAUUUUUCUCCACUAUCAAUACACUUUACAACUUUUUAUUAAAACUCGUGCCGUCCCUAAAGAGGAAGCCAUUUCAGGGACGGAGGGAGUAUAUAUAAUAAAAAUAUCACCUUAAUAGUCACUGGGAAAAAGUUGGGCUUUGUUUGGGGUCUUUUUUUAUAGAAGUUGUGCGUAUCUAAAAAUAAUAAUAAUAUUAUGUUUAUUUAUAAAUUAGUUAAAUAAAAAAAUGAUUCAUUUAAAAUUUUCUGUUCAAAACAGAAAAAGAAUACCUUUUUUUAAAAAAAAAUUUUAUUGUUUAUUUUUUGAAAUAGUAAGACUAGUUAAAUCUUUUUUAUUUUGAACUAAAUUUUUCAAUAAAUUGAGUUUUUUUUUUUUUCUAUUUGGUAAAGUCAAUAUCCAUAUUUACUACGCAUUUAGUUUCUUCAUUCUUAAAAAAGAUAUUUCUACGAAAAAAUCGAUCAUGUCCAAAACAAUAAGUUAGAACUAAGAAAUCUGCCAUUUAAAAUAUUGCAAAAUUUCAGAUUUCACUAUAACUGAAGAGUAAGUAGGCUCAUCUUCAUUCUUUCUUAAACCAACUUUUUUGGAUCUAUUAUACCAAUAUUAAUUUUUUAUUUUUAAUUAUAAAAGAAAAUUGCAGCAUGCAUCAUGCAGCCGUUAGGCCAUUGGCUGGAGCAAUUUUGGCACAAUAGAAUAAUAAAAUACUUUAAUUUUAAGUUUAUAUUAUAUCGGUAUAAGUUAUUCUGAUUCUCAAACAUUAUCAACCAAAUUAAUCGUCAAAACAUUGUUGGUGGGGGGCUGCCAACCGGUGAACAACGGCCUCGGCUGAGCCCCCUCCAAUACUGUGCCUCAUAGGCUCGCUCCAAGUUCUCAGCUCCGCAUCUGAGUCAGGAAGACAAAGAAAAGGACGCGUGUAUAGCACCGCUCAAUAAGACUUAAUUAAGCAGAAAAUAAAAAAAAUAUAUGGAGUAUAAAAUAAAAAAUUGAAAUCGAUAGAUUUUUGUAGAACUUGGCACAUUUUUUUAAAGAGCCUCUAUGGACUCUCCACUAUGAGGAAGAGGAUUUCUUUAGGUGGGGACCACUUUUAAUAGCCCCUAUGAACUCUCCACUACGAAUGCCCUUAUUUAUGACUCAAGUUUGAACUUUUAAAAGUAUAUUUGAAGUGAGAUUUCAUUUGGAAUAUUACCAUGUGAUAUACUCGAUCCAUCAGUCCAUUCGGCUCUACUUCGACUCGAAUAGUUCAAUCUUGGCUCGCAGCGCUGACUAUUCAGUUCAAAGACAAAGAUUAAUGUAAUAGGGUCUUAGGCCCAACCACUAGGUUAAUGGGCCCAAGAGUCUUAGACUCUUAGGUUUACUUUGAUGCUUAUAAAUAAAAGUUUAAUUAUUAGCUUAAGGACUUUUAGAUUCAUUCUUCUACACCAUGUAAAAUGUAAACACACAAAGUAUAGUGAUAUAGUGAAACCCCCUUCCCCCCGCCCCAAAACCCCACCCGUGGAUGUAGAUCUUCAUAAUCGAACCACGUAAAUCGUCGAGUCAUUUAUCGUUUUAUUUAGUGUGUUAUUUUUUGUAUGUAGUUGUGUGUGUGUUGGCCUAGCGAUAGGAGGUUAAUGCUGAAAACCUGAGAUCCUGGGUUCGAGUCCUCCGUCGCGCGGUCUUUUAAUUUCUUUAUUUAUUUAUGUAAUUUGCCAAAAAAAAAUCUAUUUAGUCAUAUAUAGUGGUUGUCCACAAAUUAGUUAAAUAUGAAAAAAUUUGAUUUAUUUAAUGUAUUUUUUAAAAUUAAAAAAACUAAUUAUUUUACUAUAUUAUUUAUAUUGUAAUAAUUUUGUAUAUUUUAUUUAAAAAUAAAACAAUUACUAAAAAAAAAUAGUUACUAAAGUAGACAUACAUAAAAUAACUAAAUUUGUUUUUUUUUACUAAAAGAAUAUAAAUAAAUCAAAUAUCAUUAUUGUUUANAUAUUAAUCUACAACUCCUUAAAUUCCGUGCCAAAAAAUAAAUGUAGCGUGAUGCGAGUAUUAAAUAAAUCAAAUAUCAUUAUUGUUUGUAAAAUAAAAACAAAUAAAUAUCCAGAUUGAGAAUCUUGCCGUAAAAAACUUUCACUUUUUACUUUACGGAAAAGAACUGGAAAAUUGUGACUUUCAGACCAGCUUUUUACAUUAAUUACCAAUCACGCCUACUCUUGUUUUCUGGCUCCUCUGCAUGCGUCUCUCUUUGUCUUUUUAUGCUCACUAUUACACCUAAAUCACCUUUUCCUUUAAUUACCUCAACAUUUCAUUUUUAUUUUUAGACCAAUUAUUAUACUAUUAAAAUUUAAAUUAUUUAUCUUUAUCCAAAAACAUCUUGAAAUUUUAAUAAUGUCAAUAGUUUGAAUAGUUUAUUCAAA